UCCUGUAUGGCUCAGUUGGUAGAGCAUGGCGCUUGCAAUGCCAGGGUUAUGGGUUUGUUUCCAAUGGGGGAC
RNAcentral lists this transfer RNA (72 nucleotides) under Salmo salar (Atlantic salmon). It matches the Rfam family "tRNA". Rfam says of the family: Transfer RNA (tRNA) molecules are approximately 80 nucleotides in length. Lineage: Eukaryota; Metazoa; Chordata; Actinopteri; Salmoniformes; Salmonidae. The record is from Rfam by way of RNAcentral.